RNAcentral lists this non-coding RNA (22 nucleotides) under Mus musculus (house mouse). The record is from RNAcentral. Lineage: Eukaryota; Metazoa; Chordata; Mammalia; Rodentia; Muridae.
AUAAAAAAAAAAUGGUGCUAAC